UUGCGCAACAGCGAGCAGUAGUUUUCCAGUUUAUCCACGGUCUAGUAGGCUAGGUUUGCAGUGGCUGCAGCAGGUGUUAUUGAAGAGGAAGUUGUUGCUAAUUUGUUAGCUUCUCCCUUUUCAAGAAUAACUUUCAACGACAAGCUGAGUUUCAAAUGAUCAUCAUCUGGCAACUACCACGGUCUUGUAGUGGAUGCAAGCUUCGACUGGAAGCCAGUGGAGUGUGAGAAGUAGCGGGGGGAUAUGGUAGAACUUCUGAAGGUUGAAGACCAGGUGGGCUGCAUCGUUCUGGAUAAGAUGCAGGGGUUUGCUGCCCGCUCUGUCCAGUUCAAGCUCUUCUCUGUCCUGGCACCCCAAUGGUGGAACCAGCUUCCCCCUGAAGCUAGAACAGCAGUGUCCCUGCCCAUCUUCCGAAAACAUCUGAAACCCUACCUCUUAAAAGAUUGCCUUUCGUGUACUAACACUCGCACUUAAUAGCUACUUUAUUAAGGAAAAUGUGCUUACAAGGAAUGUGAUAAGUAGUUGUCCCACCUAGCCAUCUUAAGAUACAUGCAUUAACUGUAAGUCUCUCUGGAUAAGAGCAUCUGCUAAAUGACUCAAAUGUUAAUGAGAGAGAGCGAGAUAAUGAAGAGUGCCUCCUAAACAGGAACGUUUGUGAGACACGUGUGUCACCAAGCAUCGUGCUGUAAAAUAAAGUGAAUCCGUUUAAUCAUAAA
Molecule: long non-coding RNA, 716 nt
Organism: Oncorhynchus kisutch (coho salmon)
Lineage: Eukaryota; Metazoa; Chordata; Actinopteri; Salmoniformes; Salmonidae
Exons: 2
Source: RefSeq, a predicted model, not a curated record